AAGGGUGAGGAACACGUGAAUAAUCUGCCCUCAAGUUGGGAAUAACUUUCCGAAAGGAAAGCUAAUACCGAAUGUGGUUGUUUUAUCGCAUGGUGAAACAACUAAAGAUUUAUCGCUUGGGGAUGAGUUCGCGUCCCAUUAGCUAGUUGGUGAGGUAACGGCUCACCAAGGCAGAGAUGGGUAGCUGGUCUGAGAGGAUGAUCAGCCACACUGGGACUGAGACACUGCCCAGACUCCUACGGGAGGCUGCAGUCGAGAAUCUUUUGCAAUGCGCGAAAGCGUGACAAAGCAAUGCCGCGUGCCGGAUGAAGGUCUUCGGAUUGUAAACGGCUGUCACUCGGGACGAAAACUGACGGUACCGAGGGAGGAAGCCACGGCUAACUACGUGCCAGCAGCCGCGGUAAUACGUAGGUGGCGAGCGUUGUUCGGAUUUAUUGGGCGUAAAGGGUUCGUAGGUGGUUUACUAAGUCUGACGUGAAAUCCCGUGGCUCAACCACGGAACUGCGUUGGAGACUGGUGAACUUGAGUAUUGGAGAGGUAAGCGGAAUACCAGGUGUAGCGGUGGAAUGCGUAGAUAUCUGGUAGAACACCGACAGCGAAGGCAGCUUACUGGACAAUAACUGACACUGAGGAACGAAAGCGUGGGGAGCAAACAGGAUUAGAUACCCUGGUAGUCCACGCCGUAAACGUUGUCAACUUGAUGUGGGAGGAUUUAGUCCCUUCCGUAUCGAAGCUAACGCGAUAAGUUGACCGCCUGGGGACUACGGCCGCAAGGCUAAAACUCAAAGGAAUUGACGGGGACCCGCACAAGCGGUGGAGCAUGUGGCUUAAUUCGAGGCAACGCGAAGAACCUUACCUGGGCUUGAAAUCAUAUGGACAGUCUAUGAAAGUAGA
Molecule: ribosomal RNA, 894 nt
Filed under: uncultured bacterium
Lineage: Bacteria
Description: bacterial SSU rRNA
Rfam family: Bacterial small subunit ribosomal RNA
Source: RNAcentral